CAGCAGCCACGGUAAUACGUAGGUCCCGAGCGUUGUCCGGAUUUAUUGGGCGUAAAGCGAGCGCAGGCGGUUAGAUAAGUCUGAAGUUAAAGGCUGUGGCUUAACCAUAGUACGCUUUGGAAACUGUUUAACUUGAGUGCAAGAGGGGAGAGUGGAAUUCCAUGUGUAGCGGUGAAAUGCGUAGAUAUAUGGAGGAACACCGGUGGCGAAAGCGGCUCUCUGGCUUGUAACUGACGCUGAGGCUCGAAAGCGUGGGGAGCAAACAGGAUUAGAUACCCGCGUAGUCCCUGUCUCUUAUACA
Molecule: ribosomal RNA, 301 nt
Filed under: uncultured bacterium
Lineage: Bacteria
Description: partial 16S ribosomal RNA
Rfam family: Bacterial small subunit ribosomal RNA
Source: RNAcentral